This 1224-nucleotide long non-coding RNA is filed under the name Equus caballus (horse). Its description in RNAcentral is "lncRNA (ENSECAG00000053520.1)". Lineage: Eukaryota; Metazoa; Chordata; Mammalia; Perissodactyla; Equidae. The record is from RNAcentral.
ACAGGUGGAAGCUACACCUCUGGCACAGAUUAGGUACCUAAACACACUUCCUGCCUCUGGCUAGUUGUUGGAGCCUGAGCUGCAUAAGCAAAUAAGUACGAGUAGUUUUUUUCUCCCCCUUCGAUCUGAAAACUUAAGACCCAGCCAGUGAGCACUUGAUUAGAACAUCGCCAUGGGGUUCCUGAGCCGGACAGAUUGAGAACAGCCCUGUCUGAAAAGGAUUCUGAAAUUAUAAUCCAGGUCAGAUUGGAGAGGCAGAAGAGUUUGCAGAUUGCUCAGCCACUGAUUUAAGCUUUGUUCUCUCAAACACUUCGAUGUAGUGGUGGCCAUGGCAACUAGCUGAACAAGGAACUGUGUCCUUUUAACAUCAAGACUCUGAUUGGUCCAUCCUGAGACAUGUGUGCAUCUCUAGACUAAUUACUGUCUCCAGGGGAAGAGUUUCCAGAGAUAAGGCCAUCCCGCCUUCCUUCUGGAGCAGAGAGGGAGACACCCCCCACAGAUGGAGACUUCCUUCACAAAUGCAAACGUCUCUCAUCAAAGGGCAAGUAAAUUCCACUCCUCUGAGCCUCCCUCUCAUCUGCAGUUUUUUAAAAUUAACCAGCCGAAAUCCUCAUCAGCCAUGGCAACUAGCUGAACAAGGAAUUGUGUCCUUUUAACAUCAAGACUCUGAUUGGUCCAUCCUGAGACAUGUGUGCAUCUCUAGACUAAUUACUGUCUCCAGGGGAAGGAAUUCCCAGUGUCUCAGAAAAUGAUAACCAGCAGGAGAGCGUAUAUAAGAAAAUAGCAUAAAGAUGCUGGCAGCAAACCAAGCGGGUGCCAGUCACAGUUAACUGUGCCUGCCAGGAGCUCUGAAAAGGCUAUUUCUGCAAGAAUAAAGAAAAUUUCAUUUCACUCCCCUCCACACAGAACUCACUGGAGAAAGAUUACCGUGAAAACAAAUUUGCUGUAAGUUCUUUCUUUUCUGUUGUUUGAUUCUUCUGUUAAUACACAGACCACUGCUAAUUUUUUUGUGUGUGAUAUUAUAGUAAUUUCAAUUUUUAGGGCUUAAAGUACUGUAUCAACAAUUUCGUCAUUUCUGAUACUCAAACAUUUUGCAAUCGAUUUUGAUGACUGCCCAUUUUAGAAGUAGAAGAUAUCUAAAGGUGAGGUAGGAAGACCUCAGGUUUUUAGGAUGAAGUAAAUGCAUUUUACUAUAUUCUCCUCCCUUUAAAUAUGCUAAAUAAU